This 92-nucleotide small RNA is filed under the name Staphylococcus aureus. RNAcentral describes it as "HMPRFS0000_0121". The record is from RNAcentral. Lineage: Bacteria; Bacillati; Bacillota; Bacilli; Caryophanales; Staphylococcaceae.
UUUCCGCGAUCAUCACCUAAAAUAAAUGUUUGUACACCUUGUGCCUGCCAUUUUGCAAUAUCUUCAUCUUCACGUGGUAAUGCACAAAAAUG